CAUACUUGUUCCGCUCUAGCAGCACGUAAAUAUUGGCGUAGUAAAAUAAAUAUUAAACACCAAUAUUAUUGUGCUGCUUUAGCGUGACAGGGA
This 93-nucleotide microRNA precursor is filed under the name Cervus elaphus hippelaphus. The stretch from base 8 to 88 matches the Rfam family "mir-16 microRNA precursor family". Rfam says of the family: The hairpin precursors (represented here) are predicted based on base pairing and cross-species conservation -- their extents are not known. The record is from RNAcentral. Lineage: Eukaryota; Metazoa; Chordata; Mammalia; Artiodactyla; Cervidae.